This 1015-nucleotide ribosomal RNA is filed under the name uncultured bacterium. RNAcentral's name for it is "bacterial SSU rRNA". It matches the Rfam family "Bacterial small subunit ribosomal RNA", at positions 11 to 1005 of the family's 1533-position model. The record is from RNAcentral.
GUUUGAUCCUGGCUCAGGACGAACGCUGGCGGCGUGCCUAAUACAUGCAAGUGGAACGCAUUGGUAACACCGGACUUGCUCCAGUGUUACUAAUGAGUCGCGAACGGGUGAGUAACGCGUAGGUAACCUGCCUGAUAGCGGGGGAUAACUAUUGGAAACGAUAGCUAAUACCGCAUAAGAGGAGUUAACUCAUGUUAACUGUUUAAAAGAAGCAAUGGCUUCACUAUCAGAUGGACCUGCGUUGUAUUAGCUAGUAGGUAGGGUAACGGCCUACCUAGGCAACGAUACAUAGCCGACCUGAGAGGGUGAUCGGCCACACUGGGACUGAGACACGGCCCAGACUCCUACGGGAGGCAGCAGUAGGGAAUCUUCGGCAAUGGACGCAAGUCUGACCGAGCAACGCCGCGUGAGUGAAGACGGUUUUCGGAUCGUAAAGCUCUGUUGUAGGGGAAGAACGUGUGUAAGAGUGGAAAGCUUACACAGUGACGGUACCCUACCAGAAAGGGACGGCUAACUACGUGCCAGCAGCCGCGGUAAUACGUAGGUCCCGAGCGUUGUCCGGAUUUAUUGGGCGUAAAGGGAGCGCAGGCGGUUUAGUAAGUCUGAAGUUAAAGGCAUUGGCUCAACCAAUGUAUGCUUUGGAAACUGUUAGACUUGAGUGCAGAAGGGGAGAGUGGAAUUCCAUGUGUAGCGGUGAAAUGCGUAGAUAUAUGGAGGAACACCGGUGGCGAAAGCGGCUCUCUGGUCUGUCACUGACGCUGAGGCUCGAAAGCGUGGGUAGCGAACAGGAUUAGAUACCCUGGUAGUCCACGCCGUAAACGCUGAGUGCUAGGUGUUAGGUCCUUUCCGGGACUUAGUGCCGACGCUAACGCAUUAAGCACUCCGCCUGGGGAGUACGACCGCAGGUUGAAACUCAAAGGAAUUGACGGGGCCCGCACAAGCGUGGAGCAUGUGGUUUAAUUCGAAGCAACGCGAGAACCUUACCAGGUCUUGACAUCCCGAUGCCGCUCUAGAG